UCGAGGAUCUUCCGCAAUGGGCGCAAGCCUGACGGAGCGACGCCGCGUGUGGGAUGAAGGCCUUCGGGUUGUAAACCACUGUCACUCGUUAAGAAAGGGUCCGGCGUCAACAGCGUCGGGCACCGACGAAGGCGAGAGAGGAAGCCACGGCUAACUUCGUGCCAGCAGCCGCGGUAAGACGAAGGUGGCGAGCGUUGUUCGGAAUCACUGGGCAUAAAGCGCACGUAGGCGGUGCCGUAAGUCGGGUGUGUAAUCCCUCGGCCUAACCGGGGAACUGCGCCCGAUACUGCGGUGCUUGAGGACCAGAGGGGUGCAUGGAAUUUCCGGUGGAGCGGUGAAAUGCGUUGAUAUCGGAAGGAACUCCGGCGGCGAAAGCGAUGCACUGGCUGGUUUCUGACGCUGAGGUGCGAAAGCCAGGGGAGCAAACGGG
Molecule: ribosomal RNA, 430 nt
Filed under: bacterium
Lineage: Bacteria
Description: partial 16S ribosomal RNA
Rfam family: Bacterial small subunit ribosomal RNA
Source: RNAcentral